UACAGAGGUCUCAAGCGUUGUUCGGAUUCAUUGGGCGUAAAGGGUGCGUAGGUUGCAGGGUAAGUUGGAUGUGAAAUCCCGGAGCUUAACUCCGGAACUGCAUUCAAUACUACUCAGCUAGAGUACUGGAGAGGAGAUUGGAAUUCACGGUGUAGCAGUGAAAUGCGUAGAUAUCGUGAGGAAGACCAGUGGCGAAGGCGAAUCUCUGGACAGUUACUGACGCUGAGGCACGGAAGGCCGAGGGGAGCGAAAA
Molecule: ribosomal RNA, 253 nt
Filed under: uncultured microorganism
Description: partial small subunit ribosomal RNA
Rfam family: Bacterial small subunit ribosomal RNA
Source: RNAcentral